RNAcentral lists this microRNA precursor (206 nucleotides) under Oryza sativa Japonica Group (Japanese rice). RNAcentral's name for it is "MIR812 microRNA precursor family". It matches the Rfam family "MIR812 microRNA precursor family". Lineage: Eukaryota; Viridiplantae; Streptophyta; Magnoliopsida; Poales; Poaceae. The record is from Rfam by way of RNAcentral.
AAAAAGACAAACCCUGGUUUCCGUGCCCAACGUUUGACCGUCCGUCUUAUUUAAAAAAAUUAUAAAAAAAAUUAAAAAGAUAAGUCACGCAUAAAAUAUUAAUCAUGUUUUAUCAUCUAACAACAAUAAAAAUACGAAUUAUAAAAAAAAAUUCAUAUAAGACGGAUAGUCAAAGUUGGACACGGAAACCCAGGGUUUGUCUUUUU